Molecule: long non-coding RNA, 751 nt
Filed under: Homo sapiens (human)
Lineage: Eukaryota; Metazoa; Chordata; Mammalia; Primates; Hominidae
Description: HSALNT0302044
Source: RNAcentral
AAAAAAAAAAAAAAGUAAGUUCCUUUGGCUCCUCCUUCUGGGUCUGUCCCCUCUCCCCCAGCAGCAGACAUGGCGCUGUCCAUUUCUGGAAGGUUCAGGCCAGGAAGGACACAGGUGUCACCUUGCCCAGAGGUGACCAAAGGUUCUUCGGCUGUGGGCUGGUUCUGCAAAUGAAACCUUAGGGGUGAUGGUCGGUGUAUAACGCUAAGACCAGAGCUGCAAUGGCUCUGAUUCUCCGCCAUAGAGUGCCAGGGCUCUGGGAGGAGCAUUUGAAAACCACAUAUCUCAUGCCCAAUCCUCAUUUUACAGUGGCCCAGAGCAGGAAAACCAAAGGUAUAAGGUUGGGACCAGAGGAAAAGCUGUCACACACAUGCAGAAACCACGGCCCAGGGAAGACGCAGCUUGAGCAAGGUCACCGGCAGUUUCCUUUGCAGUAAAAUGGGAAUAAAAAGAAAAUCUACGUAACAGUAGAUAUUCUGUGAGGAUUACGUGAAUUCAUAUUUGAAGAGUGAGUAGAAGGGUUCCUGGCACAAGCUCUACAAGUGUGGCUGGAAUGAAUAUGAUGAUGAGGAUGAAGAUGAGGAUGGCGGGGCUGGAGCUCAAGUGCCAUACUGUGUCCUGGAGCAGAAGCCACGUGUUGAGGACAGUCUGGACCCUUAACGAGGGUUGAGCCACGACACCAGCCUGUGACUGUUUACCUCUUGAGUUUGUUUACAGGAGAAGAAAAUAAACUCUCACCUUGUUUAACACA